UACGUAGGGACCGAGCGUUGUCCGGAAUCAUUGGGCGUAAAGAGCGUGUAGGCGGCCACUUAAGUCCUGCGUGAAAUCUUGCGGCUCAACCGCGAGCGGUCGUGGGAAACUGGGUGGCUAGAGUGCGGGAGAGGAGAGUGGAAUUCCUGGUGUAGCGGUGGAAUGCGCAGAUAUCAGGAAGAACACCCGUGGCGAAGGCGGCUCUCUGGAACGCAACUGACGCUGAGACGCGAAAGCGUGGGGAGCAAACAGG
This 253-nucleotide ribosomal RNA is filed under the name uncultured bacterium. RNAcentral describes it as "partial 16S ribosomal RNA". It matches the Rfam family "Bacterial small subunit ribosomal RNA", at positions 524 to 776 of the family's 1533-position model. The record is from RNAcentral.